Chenopodium quinoa (quinoa) is the source of this 2438-nucleotide long non-coding RNA. RefSeq lists it as uncharacterized. The transcript is spliced from 3 exons. NCBI's taxonomy places the organism in Eukaryota, Viridiplantae, Streptophyta, Magnoliopsida, Caryophyllales, Amaranthaceae. The record is from RefSeq and is a predicted model, not a curated record.
UACGAGUAUCAAAGUUUAGCUAUUUUGCCCUUGCCCUUAUUCUUUCUUCUAUUUCCAAAGUUAUUUUAGGCGCAUGUUUCCCUAUUCAUUUUCACUUUUCCUUCCAUUGGCAUCCCCUUUCCUUCUUUACAUGGCCGACGAUAGAGAAGAUCAAAAGGAGGGAUGAAAAUAUUUGAACGGUUGGAGAAGGGAUGUGGUGAUGGUAAUUUCGCUGCUAAUUCCGCUGUUUUUUAUUGUCGCUUCCUCUACAUUUCUUAAACGUGAUGGUAAUUUUCUCUCUUUAUCGUGAUUUAAUUUCUAGGGUUUCAUUUAAAAUCCCCAAAUUGUUUAAUUAUGCUCGUUUAUUGAUCAUAUGUAUAUUAAGAAUCUCAACUUCUGAAUUUUCUAUAGUUUCACGUUGAAUUGCUAAUGUUAGUGCUGAUUUUGGUAGUAAUUCGCUUUAUUAUUGAUUUUUGUAAGAUUUAGGGUUCUAGAUUUCAAAUUUCGUUGUUAAUGCUUUUGAAUUUCUAUUUUUGUGUGCUAUUUUGGUUUUAAUUUGUCUGAUUAUUGACAUAUGUUAGAUUUUAAGGUUUAGGUGUUGUGAGAGUUUGAAUAGUGUGAUGGUUUUGCAGAAUUGGAUUUUGAAGGAAGUCCAUCAAUGGUGAUUGUCGAAUUAACUCUUUAUCAUAUUACGAUUAGAGUAUAUAAAAAAGCAAACAUACUAUGCUAAUUGGACUCUAAUGUGUAAGUUUCUACAACAAGCGACACAAGCUAAUUGAAAUUCCUCCCUUAUUGGUGUAUGUUCUUUGCAACUCUAAAGGUACUGAUUUUCAUUACUUUGGAUGAUGUUGAAGUAGUGUAAUGUGGGAAAAUUGUAAUUUAUGUGAUAAUUUUUUUGUUUAUUUAUAAAUGCUUUUGGGGCUGUCAUAUUCAAAUUUAUUUUUUAGAUAUGAUUAAAUUUUCUGCAAUCUGAUUCUUUUCUAGGAGCAAAAUUGGAAAAUUGGGGAAUAUUAUUAUCUUGGUUACAAGUGGUGUGAAGUUGCAUAGUCUUUUUAGGUUUGAUUCGUGAUUAGAUGAUUAUUGGGAUGGUAUAAGAUUUUAUUAUUUUUUAAAUUAUGCUUUUCGGUUUCAGAGUUUAGUUUUUCUAAAAAGAGCUCCCUUUUUAAUAAAGCUUUAGUUCAUGAUCUGGCUGAAGUGGUUUCAUUUCAACCAUUGUGAUCUUUCUGCAGUGUUUUGUUUACGGAAUGGAUUGAGUUGAAGUCAAGUAAUAACCCUUCUUAUUCUGAUUCUUUCUAUUUAUUUGCAUUCAUAGUUAUCAAUUACUAUAUCUGUUCGCUGGUUGGCAGCAUCAAUGUGUUGAAACUGGAGUGUGUGUGAACUUAAAAAGUUUUGACUUUGUCAUUCAUUCUGAAAUUUGAAGUUGUGUAUAUAUGUUGAGUUUUAAUGAAAUUUGGUAGACAUAGAAUUAUUUAGUUUUUGAUGAUUAGUAUAUAUUGCUAAUUUUUAGUCUAUUUAUCAUUUUGGAAGUGAGUAAUAUAUUAUCAACUAUGUAGUUAUUUUUUUUAUUAGUUUAAUUAUGAAGUAAUCUAAUUGUGUCGGUGAUAGGUUUUUAUUGACACAACUCGAUAAGAAGCCCAAGGAUACCAUAAAGAGUGCUUUCCGAAUGAAGAUAAUCUAAGAUUUGUAAAACAAAAAAAAAUGAAAAGAGAAGAUUACUUGAUGUGAUCAACUUAAAUGUAAUUACAUCAGUUGUACUUAUAGUUUAGUUUAAAUAUAUCAUGUUUCUUGAAUUGAAAUUUUUGAUUUGUAUCAGGGUCAUGACAACCAAGUUUUUCACCAAAGUUUCAUUUGACUUGUCCCUUUUCGGAAGAAUAUCAGAAAAUUACUGUGAAUCGAGUGCUCAAAGCUGCUCGAACAUCGAGCUCUCUCAACUUAUCAAAUCACUCUUUGAGGUUGUCUAAUAUAUGAUGAUUUCUCACACAUUACAUAGGAUCAAAUGGAUCAAGAUGAAGGAUUAGAGUAGCAAGUAAUGAAGCCACAAGCCCAAAAGAACCAUGUGUGCACAUAUGUAGCUGCCAAUGCUUUGGGAGAUACAUAAUAUAUAUAAGACCAACUUAGAUAAACAUUUUUUUCCCGCGAUUGAAAAUUGGAGUCCUCCGGUAGUACUGUUGCUCGCUGUUGUCACUAUUACGUUGAAUGUUGCUGCUGUAACUGUUGUUACUGCUGUCUACUGCUAUUUGUUACUGCCAGCUCCUGACAGUUGCUGUUGUCUGGAGUCACUACUGCUCUAUGUUACUGUUAUUUUGCUAUUUUUGUUUUGGAAUUUGGUGGUCUAGUAAUCGAAGUUGAAUUUUUUUGUUAGGAUUAUUAGAUUGUUUAGCCAAAAAAAACAAAUGGUGUUUAUGAAUUUUUUUUUAAAGGAAAUAUGAUAUUAUAUCAAUUCAAAAUAUUGUUUAUCA